This 82-nucleotide transfer RNA is filed under the name Anaerolineae bacterium. RNAcentral describes it as "tRNA-Leu". It matches the Rfam family "tRNA". From Rfam's summary of the family: Transfer RNA (tRNA) molecules are approximately 80 nucleotides in length. Their secondary structure includes four short double-helical elements and three loops (D, anti-codon, and T loops). Lineage: Bacteria; Bacillati; Chloroflexota; Anaerolineae. The record is from RNAcentral. RNAcentral also lists the same sequence under 1 other name.
GCCGGAGUGGCGGAAUUGGCAGACGCGCACGACUCAAACUCGUGUGGGGAAACCCGUGUGGGUUCGACUCCCACCUUCGGCA